Molecule: non-coding RNA, 214 nt
Filed under: Bacillus sp. (in: firmicutes)
Lineage: Bacteria; Bacillati; Bacillota; Bacilli; Caryophanales; Bacillaceae
Description: Bacillus sp. T-box sequence
Rfam family: T-box leader
About the family: Uncharged tRNA acts as the effector for transcription antitermination of genes in the T-box leader family. T-boxes are found upstream of many aminoacyl-tRNA synthetase genes and some amino acid biosynthetic genes usually in Gram-positive bacteria.
Source: RNAcentral
CAUAAAACGAUGAACAGGAAAAGUAAGUCAUUCCCUUUAACUAAAGAGAGCAAUCGGCAGCUGAAAAGAUUGUGUUAAAUAAUGAUUGAAAGACACCUGUGAGUGUUAUCCUGAAAAAAGUAGGGAUAGACGGUUUGCAACCGUUAAUAAGCUUUGAGGUGGCUGUGUACGCAGCAAUUAGGGUGGUACCGCGAGAUAAGCUCUCGUCCCUGAC